GACGAACGCUGGCGGCAUGCCUAAUACAUGCAAGUCGAGCGGAAUGACGAGAGCUUGCUCUCUGAUUUUAGCGGCGGACGGGUGAGUAACACGUGGGCAACCUGCCCUACAGAUGGGGAUAACUCCGGGAAACCGGGGCUAAUACCGAAUAAUCAGUUUGUCCGCAUGGACAAACUCUGAAAGACGGUUUCGGCUGUCACUGUAGGAUGGGCCCGCGGCGCAUUAGCUAGUUGGUGGGGUAAUGGCCUACCAAGGCAACGAUGCGUAGCCGACCUGAGAGGGUGAUCGGCCACACUGGGACUGAGACACGGCCAG
RNAcentral lists this ribosomal RNA (315 nucleotides) under uncultured bacterium. RNAcentral describes it as "bacterial SSU rRNA". It matches the Rfam family "Bacterial small subunit ribosomal RNA", at positions 28 to 334 of the family's 1533-position model. The record is from RNAcentral.